UAUACGCGCUCUCCGCGACUUGGCAUCGGCGUCUCCGCGAGGACUCUCAGCACGCGCGAAGCCCGUCACCCUCCUUCUCCCGCGUGCGCGAAGGCGGUCGAUCUCCUUCUCCCGCGCGUGCGCCCGUCGGUCUCCUUCUUCUCUGCUAGGGUUGAGCAAUUGAUGGGAAGCCAGACCUGCAGCAAUUUUGUUUCUCUGCCCAUGUUGAUGGCCGGCUGGAGGCCGGAGUUCACGAUGAUUUUCUGACCAGAACAAGAUCAAUCGGCAUUGGAGUAGAUGCUGACCUGAUGGGAGGAGCAGAUGGCCGGCCGGAGUAGAUGAUGGCCACCGGCGUUGGAGUCCGCAGCGGCUGAUCAGGCGACGGGGCGACGGCGCGGCGCACGAUGGGAGACGCGACGGGAGGAACGGCGACGGGAUGUGAAGUGGCAGUAGUUGAUUCGGGCCCAGUAGCUGAGCAUAUGUGGGCCUGUUUUUUAAUUUUACUAAGUCAAAAUGGCAAACUCUUGAAGAUAGUCUUCUUUUUAACUUGGCAUAUAUUUUAGCAAGUUGCCAAAUCACAAGUUUUGCCAAAUUAAUUUUGGUAAACUCUUGAAGAUGCUCUAAGCCUUUGUUUAGUUCCAUCCAAAAUUUCAAAACUUUA
Molecule: long non-coding RNA, 640 nt
Organism: Panicum virgatum (switchgrass)
Lineage: Eukaryota; Viridiplantae; Streptophyta; Magnoliopsida; Poales; Poaceae
Exons: 2
Source: RefSeq, a predicted model, not a curated record